CGUUACCUAGAGAUUUAAUGUCACGUAAGAUCCACUUCACUGUUGAUAAACUCUCCUCUUCUCCGCGGAUAAACGUUCUGUAAGGCGUGGAGCAUCCCAUGUCUCCGAACAUGAACGCUAAGGUUUGGUCUGAAUCGUCGUUUCGAGACACGAAGCUGUGGAUCUCGCUCCAUCCUUUGGACUCGCUCCCGACUUGGUAAUAGUAUUUGACUCCUGGUUUCAAGCUCUUCAUGACGGCGUCGAAUGUCCAGCCUGGAUCCCUCCAGCCGAUCGUGGUAUUCGCCGGCGCGUGGCACAUACGCUCCCUCUCCAGGUGUUACAUUAAUGAUUCAUCCAUCAACAAUUGGAAACACUAAGGAUGAUGUCAAGAAAAGCUUGCUAAUCAUCUAUGCUUUUGAGAUCUCUCUCUCUCGUAUACAUAAAUUAGUUUAAACUUUGAUCAUCAGUUUAAAGUUUAAUUUUUAAAAUAAUUUUUUUAACUCCCUUAAAAUAGCUUUAUAUCCUUUAUAAACCAAUGUAUUAUAUUAAAAAAAAAUAUUCUCAAAUAAUAUCAACUCAAGACACUUUCAACACUAAUUAACCCACAUAUUCUCAAUACAUAAAACUUGACAUAAUAAAAAAAAUAAAAAAGAAACGCACUAAAACCAUGUUCCAUUCCCAUGGUACAUUUUCAUUCAUUUCCAUACCAGUUGGAAUGAUGAACCUUCUUCAUUGUGAUGCCAAUUUCAUAUGGCUGUAUUUUUAUUGGAAAAUGUUAAACAUAUGUACAAACAAUACACUGCCACAUUAUCAUACAUUUAUCUCUGCUUAUGAGGUCUCUCUCAUAUACAUAAAAUUAGUUUAAACUUUGAUCAUCAUUUUAAAUUAAAAAUUUUAAAUUAUUUUUUUAACUUCCUUAAAAUAGCUUUUUAUCCUUUAAUAAACCAAUAUAUUAUUUUUAUUUUUAAUUUUUUUUUCUCAAAUAAUAUCAACUCAAGACACUUCAAUAAAUUAUCUUUAGUAGUAAAGUCGUAAACACUAAUUAACUCAUAUGUUCUCAAUACAUAAUACUUGACAUAAUAAAGAUAAUAAAAAAACACUAAUUUUUUUUAUUCCUUUACAUACCGGUUGGAAUGAGCCAAUUCCAUAUGGCUGUAUUUUUACUGAAAAAUGAUAAACAUAUAAACAAACAAUACACUGCCACAUUAUCAUGCAUUUAUAAUAAAAUAAUGUAUUCAAACCACAAACUACAUAAUUACAAAAAAAAACAUCUAAUGAACUAAUAUGUUUUAUGUUACUAACACCACAUAUGUAAUUUUGAUAUUAGAAAAUUUUGACCAUCACUAAAAAGUUUAUUUGAAAAACAAAUCGUAACACAUAUUCAAAUGAUAAAAUAAAAUCAAUACACAUAAAUCAAACAGUCAUAAUAUCAAAAAAAAUAAUAUAUUAAAACAGAUAAAACAUGUUAAACAUCAUUUGAAAUUCUCUAGUAAUAAAUCAAUACAUUUUAUAGUUUGUAUAUUUUUUUUUAGUUACAUUAUUUUUAUCUAGAUACGUAAUCAUGUGGUGUCAUAUUGUUCAUGUAACUAAUAAUCAUUUUUCCUUUUAUAUUCCUAAACAACCACCAUAAAUAUAUUAACCAUGCCACAAAAAUGGAACUUAAGUUUAUGCGAUCAAAAUCAAGAAGAUGAUUUUUUUUGUUAAAGAUGCAGUUAAGUUUUUUUUUUAAAUACAACUUUAGGUAGUUUCUACCAUCAAAAUAUUUUACUUGAAUUGGCUGCAUCAAGUACUGUCUAUCUGCACAAUCUUAUUCUUCUGUCACCUCAUCUAGCUCGUAAGAAUCUUUAAAGUUUUAAGUUUGGAUAGUUAGAGAAUCUUUAUGCCAUUUUUUCGAAAUCAACCGCUUUAGUUAGAUAGUCUACAAGAGUCUAUAAACACUAUAAACACACAUGAACGGAAAUAAUUCCCAAUUAUUACUCAAAGAAGGGUAUAGUUCGAAAGAACAUCAAUGUCUGCUAUCCGUUUAAGGGAACCCGAUUAAACCGAAUCAAAACACAAACCAAGCUGAAUACAAACCGAACCGAAAUCAAUCCAAACUAAUUAAGGUUUAUUUCAGUUGAAAAAAUUCUAAAACCAAAAUAAUCAAACCGAAUCCAAACCAAACCGAUAAAAUAACCGAAGUGUCCACUACUAAUCAUCGUGAAUUGAAAAAUCUAGGGUUAGGGGUUAACUCAAUUUGGGGACUUUUGAAAAGUUGGGGACACACUCGUCCAUGUGCAAAGUUUGACUUUUGAAUCAAAAUUCAAGUUACCCAAUACUCAAUUAGAAAAGUAAACCGACUUUGGAUCUUACGAUUAAUCAUAAUUGUCGGUCGGAUGUUUUAAACUCAUCCAUCAAAAUCAAAGUGAUAUCUUUUGCCUCUAAAUAUUGAAAGUUCCCAUAUGUAAAUUAUCAAAACGUUUAUUGUCAAGAAGGUGACUAAAACUUUUGGUUCUUACCAUUCAGGUUUUUAAUUAAAAACAAGGGAUUGAGGCGACCUUUUGAUGCAAGAGUGCAAUGCUAAGCAUGUAAGACACCUGAACCAAUUAGACGAAUCUCAUGUUUCUCUGGAGAAGACGCCUUAGCUACUGUUUUAACCCCACUAUUGUCUAAAACGUUCACUUGUCUUAGGUGCCGUAGGUACUGUUGUAACCCCAUUGUUGUCUAAAAUUUAUAAGGUCGUCUAUCUAUUUAUUGCAAAUAAAAAUUACAUAGCCUCUCUUUUCUUUUUUUUUAUAAGGUCGUACUUUUUUCUUUUUUUUCUUUAAAAAAAAAUAGAAGAAAUGUGUUAAAAAAAGCCUCUUUUUUUUUAUUAAACAAAAUCUGCUAAAGUAAUAUCGCAAAACUAAACCCUUCAAAGCCUUGAAGAGGUUAAUAAGCUUUUUGGAUGUACCUUUCUAUAAUAAGAAUGCUAUACAUAACUUGUGGGACAAGUAAAACAAAAACAAGUCCAAGCUGAAUCAUGUCUCCUCCUCAUUCUUCACUUGGAUCCAACGCCCAGUAUUAGAUGAUCCAGCUCCUUCUCUUUUUCGACGACUAAAGAAACCGAUAAGAUACCCCAAAACCACUCCCAAAACCAUCACACUUGCUCCUUCAAUGUACCACAACACCUCAAACUCAGAUUUAGAUCCCAGGCUUGAGUCUUUACCAUCAUCAUCACUACCACCGCUAAUAACUUCCCCUGAAGCCAAAAUCUCAACCUUGUCAUGAACCUCUCCAUCAUGGUUCCCCACAUAAGAAAUAGUAAGUCUCUCCUUAUCAGCAACCAAACGAGUGUACCCAAACUCGCCUCCACGGUACAUCGACCGAGCAGGCUGAGGAAAUAUCGGUACAUCCGGAUGAUUAGGCCUCGGUUCCCAAAUCGGUUGCGUCUCUUUCCCAGCCAUACCGAUCACAAGAUGAACAGGGCUCCCAUGCCAACGCUCACCACAAGUGUUGUUACUAAUCGGACAAAACCUCUCGUAUCUAUGAACAUGUCCCCAUAACGCAACCGUCACGUUGUUCUCAACGAACAACGGUUCCAAAUGCUCGAUCAUCUUCACUCUUACCGCUAUAUCACUACCUUUAGUACUCGUAGUGUACAUCGGUCUAUGCCCUUGCACAACCACAAACGGCGUCUUGCUCCUGUUAACAGACUCUAAAUCACUCUUGAUAAAACUAUACUGCUUCCCUCCUUUAAGAAACUCCGUCUCGGUCGAAAUAUAAACGAAAUGGACCGAGCCCAUGUCGUAAGAAUAGUAAAGGUUCCGAACCUUAGCUUCGGAUGAGUUUCCAGGCAUGUUGAACUUAACACUAUACGGUACACCACAUUCUCCACCACUAUCUUUACCGUACACGUAAGCAGCCCAAUCUGGCUUCCACGGCUGCAUAGGCCAGUCGUACUCGUGGUUACCGAUGCAAACAUGGUACGGGACUUUAGAAGCUAUAGGCUCGAUUUGAUGAAAGAACUCAUCCCAUAUCCACGAGUAGCCUUUAGCAUAGCUUAUAUCACCAAUGUGUGACACGAUCGCUGCUUUAUCGUUACCUAGAGAUUUAAUGUCACGUAAGAUCCACUUCACUGUUGAUAAACUCUCCUCUUCUCCGCGGAUAAACGUUCUGUAAGGCGUGGAGCAUCCCAUGUCUCCGAACAUGAACGCUAAGGUUUGGUCUGAAUCGUCGUUUCGAGACACGAAGCUGUGGAUCUCGCUCCAUCCUUUGGACUCGCUCCCGACUUGGUAAUAGUAUUUGACUCCUGGUUUCAAGCUCUUCAUGACGGCGUCGAA
This 4280-nucleotide long non-coding RNA is filed under the name Brassica napus (rape). RNAcentral describes it as "long non-coding RNA (BNAP_LNC001680)". The record is from RNAcentral. Lineage: Eukaryota; Viridiplantae; Streptophyta; Magnoliopsida; Brassicales; Brassicaceae.